CCAGAAAGUCCUUCUCAAAUUCCACUCUGUCCUCUCCAGUGUCUUCAAAUCCAUGACUUGGAGUUCUUCCUCAUUGAUACCUUUACAAACAUAACUGAGACACCGUGUGGGAGACAUGUGCUGCUCUGUCUGCUCUGGGCCUACUAUCCUGACGUCAACAUUUAAUGGAACCCUCCUUCAAGCUGCAUUGCUAGAAGCUAAGUGCCCAGUCUCUAUGGGUUUCUCCUGCCAAGGUGUAAAGGCCUUCUCACUUCCUUCAGAGUAGUGGAGUGGAUGUUAAAUGACAUCAAAAUCAGAAAGCUUGAGGUAGGACUUCACUUCUGACAUUGAUAUGGCCUCAGACUAUACACUGCUCCAAAUAGAACACUUUAAUGACACACAGGAACCAUGAGAACUAUCUACCCGGACCUUCAGCAAUGACAAGGCUUUCUCUUCCCACCAAGGAGGAGUCCCACACACAAAUGAUUCUCAUCUAGACACAGCUCUGAUGCCCCAUCUAACAUACAAGAAGACAUCCCCCAAGGCCCACCUAUAAAUACCGUCAGUGAGAUACCUACCAGGAUCUUGGCCCAGUUCACAUCUCAACCCUGUAAGCCACAUACUGAGCAGAUUCAUGG
RNAcentral lists this long non-coding RNA (617 nucleotides) under Mus spicilegus (steppe mouse). Its description in RNAcentral is "lncRNA (ENSMSIG00000016231.1)". The record is from RNAcentral. Lineage: Eukaryota; Metazoa; Chordata; Mammalia; Rodentia; Muridae.